ACAGGAAGCAGCUUGCUGCUUCGCUGACGAGUGGCGGACGGGUGAGUAAUGUCUGGGAAGCUGCCUGAUGGAGGGGGAUAACUACUGGAAACGGUAGCUAAUACCGCAUAAUGUCGCAAGACCAAAGAGGGGGACCUUCGGGCCUCUUGCCAUCGGAUGUGCCCAGAUGGGAUUAGCUUGUUGGUGGGGUAACGGCUCACCAAGGCGACGAUCCCUAGCUGGUCUGAGAGGAUGACCAGCCACACUGGAACUGAGACACGGUCCAGACUCCUACGGGAGGCAGCAGUGGGGAAUAUUGCACAAUGGGCGCAAGCCUGAUGCAGCCAUGCCGCGUGUAUGAAGAAGGCCUUCGGGUUGUAAAGUACUUUCAGCGGGGAGGAAGGGAGUAAAGUUAAUACCUUUGCUCAUUGACGUUACCCGCAGAAGAAGCACCGGCUAACUCCGUGCCAGCAGCCGCGGUAAUACGGAGGGUGCAAGCGUUAAUCGGAAUUACUGGGCGUAAAGCGCACGCAGGCGGUUUGUUAAGUCAGAUGUGAAAUCCCCGGGCUCAACCUGGGAACUGCAUCUGAUACUGGCAAGCUUGAGUCUCGUAGAGGGGGGUAGAAUUCCAGGUGUAGCGGUGAAAUGCGUAGAGAUCUGGAGGAAUACCGGUGGCGAAGGCGGCCCCCUGGACGAAGACUGACGCUCAGGUGCGAAAGCGUGGGGAGCAAACAGGAUUAGAUACCCUGGUAGUCCACGCCGUAAACGAUGUCGACUUGGAGGUUGUGCCCUUGAGGCGUGGCUUCCGGAGCUAACGCGUUAAGUCGACCGCCUGGGGAGUACGGCCGCAAGGUUAAAACUCAAAUGAAUUGACGGGGGCCCGCACAAGCGGUGGAGCAUGUGGUUUAAUUCGAUGCAACGCGAAGAACCUUACCUGGUCUUGACAUCCACGGAAGUUUUCAGAGAUGAGAAUGUGCCUUCGGGAACCGUGAGACAGGUGCUGCAUGGCUGUCGUCAGCUCGUGUUGUGAAAUGUUGGGUUAAGUCCCGCAACGAGCGCAACCCUUAUCCUUUGUUGCCAGCGGUCCGGCCGGGAACUCAAAGGAGACUGCCAGUGAUAAACUGGAGGAAGGUGGGGAUGACGUCAAGUCAUCAUGGCCCUUACGACCAGGGCUACACACGUGCUACAAUGGCGCAUACAAAGAGAAGCGACCUCGCGAGAGCAAGCGGACCUCAUAAAGUGCGUCGUAGUCCGGAUUGGAGUCUGCAACUCGACUCCAUGAAGUCGGAAUCGCUAGUAAUCGUGGAUCAGAAUGCCACGGUGAAUACGUUCCCGGGCCUUGUACACACCGCCCGUCACACCAUGGGAGUGGGUUGCAAAAGAAGUAGGUAGCUUAACCUUCGGGAGGGCGCUUACCACUUUGUGAUUCAUGACUGGGGUGAAGUCGAAACAAGGUA
Molecule: ribosomal RNA, 1436 nt
Filed under: metagenome
Description: bacterial SSU rRNA
Rfam family: Bacterial small subunit ribosomal RNA
Source: RNAcentral